GUCAUCGGCCCCUGCCCCCGGGCGACGUCAGCGUGCCGGCGGGGGCGCGGCCUUGGUGGGCGGGGCCUAGGUGGGCGGGGCCGCGGCGGGAGGAGCCAAUGGUCGAGCGCGGCGGGGAGGGAGCGAACGGACCUGCGCGGAAGGAACGGACCGGCGCGGGAAGGAGGCGCACCUGCCGCAGGUCACACACACCUUCACCCGGACCUGCUGCCACCCACCACAAUGACCAUGGAGGAAACUGAAAAGCAGUUUGGUUUUCCUCCAGCCUUCCCAUCCGGUGGCCUUCCUCCUGAAUUCCUUAGGUAUUUGACAUCUUUAUACUGGACCCCUGGUCAUCCAAAUGAGAAGCAGCCGUGCAUAUGCCCAGCUCGGGCACACAGAGAUCCUCCUAAGUGCUGCGCUGACCUACGAGCCCAUCAGAGUCACGUAGCUGAGGCCCUCUUCAAAGAAUCGGGAGUCAUUUUCAGAAAAACACCUUAGCUUUCUCACCUCAUGCUCGAAAUCAACUUAAAAACUGUAGUCAUCAACAUUCUAUUUGAAGAAACCAUGUAUGGCAAACUUACCGUCUUAGUCAAAUAAACCAUGACA
This is a long non-coding RNA of Myotis myotis, 588 nucleotides long. RefSeq lists it as uncharacterized. Lineage: Eukaryota; Metazoa; Chordata; Mammalia; Chiroptera; Vespertilionidae. The record is from RefSeq and is a predicted model, not a curated record. The transcript is spliced from 3 exons.